GUCCACGCCCUAAACGGUGGGUACUAGGUGUAGGGCUCGUAAGGGUUCUGUGCCGAAGGGAAACCAUUAAGUACCCCGCCUGGGAAGUACGGCCGCAAGGUUGAAACUCAAAGGAAUUGACGGGGGCCCGCACAAGCGGUGGAGCAUGUGGUUUAAUUCGACGCAACGCGAAGAACCUUACCUAGGUUUGAAAUCCUGAGAAUCUUCCGGAAAUGGAGGAGUGCCCUUCGGGGAAUUCAGUGACAGGUGCUGCAUGGCUGUCGU
This 264-nucleotide ribosomal RNA is filed under the name uncultured bacterium. RNAcentral describes it as "partial 16S ribosomal RNA". It matches the Rfam family "Bacterial small subunit ribosomal RNA", at positions 793 to 1055 of the family's 1533-position model. The record is from RNAcentral.